GAGCGAGUAGUGGAGUGUACUGGUGUGAGUCUGCAACACAGUCCAGCAAUGCAGCCAACAUCACUACACACAGUGGUGAUGUCAUCCUGGUGAGUUCUGUCCAUCCUGUGACUGAGGGACAUUCGGUCACUCUUGGCUGCAUGUUGAGGACAAAAGAACUUCUUGAUGAAGUGGAUUUCUAUAAAAAUGACAAACUCCUCCCAAAUCCUCUCAAAAGGGAGCUGUUUAUCUCUGCAGUUACUAAGUCAGAUGAAGGCUUUUAUAAAUGUAGAGGAAGGAAUUCACCUCCAGGUUUGGAGAAUUUGACCUCAGCAGAGAGCUGGUUGUCAGUGGAACAUCCUGAAGAAGCAGCAACAAGCUCUGUGUUUCUCGUGC
This is a non-coding RNA of Gasterosteus aculeatus aculeatus (three-spined stickleback), 375 nucleotides long. NCBI's taxonomy places the organism in Eukaryota, Metazoa, Chordata, Actinopteri, Perciformes, Gasterosteidae. The record is from RefSeq and is a predicted model, not a curated record.